CCCAGCAGGAAGAAGGGGCGGGACCCAACGAUGCAGACUGAACUGAGAGCAAAUUUAAAUUACUGAGCCUUUUUCCCCCUUUUUUAUUUUUCUACUCUGCGACAAACUGAAAAGAUUCCAGCACGCUAAUUUAACCACCCUGCUUCUUCUUCUUUACUUUCCCCCCACCCCUGCUUCCAGGAUAAUUAAAAGAGAAACCUGUAAAGGCAACAUUCCUGUGAGCGAGUUGGUGCUGCAACGUGCUGGGCUACAAAACUAGAGA
Molecule: long non-coding RNA, 262 nt
Organism: Myotis davidii
Lineage: Eukaryota; Metazoa; Chordata; Mammalia; Chiroptera; Vespertilionidae
Exons: 3
Source: RefSeq, a predicted model, not a curated record